AUGUCACUAUUCGAAGCGUCAAAAGAAUGUGCAUCGCUUCGGCGGAUGAUCGGCCACAUUCAGCAGACGUGUGGGCUAAACACCGUACAAACCCCUACCAUUAUCUAUGAAGAAAAUGUUGCUUGUGUUGCACAAGUUCAGAUGAGUUAUGUGAAGAGUAACCUCACAAGGCAUAUUAGUCCCAAGUUCUUCUAUGCACAUGAGCUGCAGCAGUUGAACGAGGUGAGAGUUUUGGAGACUAUGUCUUGUGACAAUCCUGCUGAUAUAUUCACUAAAUCAUUACCGGCAUCAACCUUAGAGAGGUGUGUGCAUGGAAUCGUUAUGAUAAGACUUUGA
RNAcentral lists this ribosomal RNA (336 nucleotides) under Triticum aestivum (bread wheat). RNAcentral describes it as "partial small subunit ribosomal RNA". The record is from RNAcentral. Lineage: Eukaryota; Viridiplantae; Streptophyta; Magnoliopsida; Poales; Poaceae.